GGGGAUGUACCUCAGCAAGGCAGCGCCUGCCUGGCAAGCAUGAGGUCCUGAGAUCAAUUCCCAGCACCCCCC
This 72-nucleotide transfer RNA is filed under the name Heterocephalus glaber (naked mole-rat). It matches the Rfam family "tRNA". Rfam says of the family: Transfer RNA (tRNA) molecules are approximately 80 nucleotides in length. Their secondary structure includes four short double-helical elements and three loops (D, anti-codon, and T loops). Lineage: Eukaryota; Metazoa; Chordata; Mammalia; Rodentia; Bathyergidae. The record is from Rfam by way of RNAcentral.